RNAcentral lists this long non-coding RNA (289 nucleotides) under Phoenix dactylifera (date palm). Its description in RNAcentral is "long non-coding RNA (PDAC_LNC009759)". Lineage: Eukaryota; Viridiplantae; Streptophyta; Magnoliopsida; Arecales; Arecaceae. The record is from RNAcentral.
UGUCGUCUGAGAACCCUUCCCCUCUUCUCUCUGUUUCACUCCCGUGAGCCAGCUCAAACCCUCCAAUUAAAUCACAUCAAAACACUAUUCACCCUUUUUUUAAUAUUAUUAAUUUUCCAUUUUGCCCUUGCCACUUCGAUAUAUCUGCAAUUAUGCCAUUAUCUUUUGAUUCCUUCCCAUUUUGCCCCUAACACUUCAACGCAUCUACUAUUAUGCCAUUAACUUUUGAUUCCUUCCAAUUUUACCCCUUAUAUCAAUUUUAAAGGACUAUUCUAUCCUUUUUUUAUAU